UGGAUCUGGAAGCUGCCAUUGAUGCCUAUGAUCCAAGUGAUCAAGGCAUUACCAAACCUGGAAUCUUCAUCUAUGAGGUGUUCGAAAAAGCUAAUCUGACCUUCAGCAGCAAGACAGCAGUCUAUGAAGCUCUGGAGCACAUCAUUGGAUACCUGGCACAACAGCCAGGAAUAUUUCUCAAUACUAGUGGACUCCAGAAGCUUUCUGAUAUCAUACAGCUGGUAUUUUGUGGUGAACCGUCAGAAAAGGAGAAACUACACCAGAUGGA
Molecule: non-coding RNA, 268 nt
Organism: Maylandia zebra (zebra mbuna)
Lineage: Eukaryota; Metazoa; Chordata; Actinopteri; Cichliformes; Cichlidae
Source: RefSeq, a predicted model, not a curated record